Molecule: long non-coding RNA, 1448 nt
Filed under: Homo sapiens (human)
Lineage: Eukaryota; Metazoa; Chordata; Mammalia; Primates; Hominidae
Description: HSALNT0154648
Source: RNAcentral
UACUCCUUCACUUGCUCAUUCUGCAAAAGUUUGUAGAUCUUCUGCAAGGAGAACGGCAUUGUUAACUACCUACAGGAAGUGCGUCUUCUCUGGAGAAGUCAACAGUGAGAUGGGCUAAAUGAAGAAGGAGCAGCUUAUUGUCUUUGUUGGUUUUCUUUAUUUUCCUUCGAAGCAUCUGGGGGAAGAGGAAGACAAUGGAUGAGAUGGCGUAUGUUCUUUCCGCCCUGUGAAUGAAUCAGAUUUGAACUCCUAAGCAAAAUAGAAAAUGCAGAAAUGGUGCUCAGGCAAAACCUGAGAGACACCGGGCUCAAGCGACUCUCCUCUGAAGUCCAUCUGAUAAAGUCUGAAUUAUGGAUAAGUCCUUUCCCCCUCAAUAGUCUACUGCUUACUAAAGUGUAGCUCAAUGACUCUGUGGGCUUGGGUAAUCAGCAGGUAAGCAUAGCUAUGCCCAAUGAAGCAGGGGCUGUGAGAAGAAGCCUUGAAGAGUACCUAAAGUAGAAAAUAAGUGAACUUUCUCCUAAGCCCAUAGGAAACAUCACUAUCCUGCUGAAGGCAGGGCAGAGGGAACACAGCAGAGUAGGCUCAGAAUAACUGGGAUUUGGGCACUGAUAUUAAUGUCACCAUAUCUACACUUAUUGAUUGUUGAGAUUAUACAUUUGGCUUGAAACCACAGGAACUAAUAUACUCUAAAUAUAAGCUGAGAAAAAUUAAAAAUAACCACAACUACAACAGUAGAAAGAGAAAAUAUAUGAAUGCCAAGAAUCUAAUGUGUAAAUUAACUACAAGGGUUUAGAAGUUUUGGGCAUCUCCCUGGGGAUUAGCUGUGCUCAGUCUCCCCUCCAGGAAAUCAUUUACAACUCUAUGUCUGUUACCCCAAAAUGACUUAAAUGAAGUUUAGGAUAAGACAGAGACAAGUUCAGAACAAGACAUGGGUGAGGUUCAGAAGAAUGAAAUUGAAAUUAUAUGAAUUUCCAAUUGUUAGAGAUGCAUGAGUGAGAUACAGGUUUUCAAGUGUUGUGAUGUCAUACCAUAAAAUGAUUAUAAACAUUUAGGAAACAAUCUCUCCUGUGGAAUCAGGAAUCAUUACUAAAUAUCACAAUUAUAGUGGAGACGCUGAAGAAGUCAAUAUAUGUGUUCUGAAAAACUUGAUUAAAUAAACUUCAAGGACACAGAGAAAGGCGCUGUGAUCUGUUCUCUGCAAAGGGCCUGAUAUAUUUAGAUUUUCAUUAAGAUGGGCUGAAACACAAAAUGUCUUCAGUUAUCCAGGAAAUGUAAUUAACCACUUCUUAAGAUUUCUACUUAAUCAAUGCUAUUUUUCCCCAUAUUUGGUUAAUUGAACUGUCUGCCUCCACUAUAGUCUGAGGUAUGUGGCUAAUUUUGGCCAGCAAUAUCAAGGACAUGAAACUCAAGGUAAUUUUUUUCCCUCCAAAAUAGCCUCUAUAUUUUCG